Molecule: ribosomal RNA, 406 nt
Filed under: uncultured bacterium
Lineage: Bacteria
Description: partial 16S ribosomal RNA
Rfam family: Bacterial small subunit ribosomal RNA
Source: RNAcentral
AUUGAACGCUGGCGGCAGGCCUAACACAUGCAAGUCGAGCGCGCGGCGGACGGGUGUGAAUAGUCUGGGAAACUGUCUGUUGGAGGGGGAUAACUCCUGGAAACGGUAGCUCUAACCGCACACUACCAGAUGUGCCCAGAUGGGAUUAGCCAGUGGGUGGGGUAACGGCUCACCAAGGCGACGAUCCCUAGCUGGUCUGAGAGGAUGAUCAGCCACACUGGAACUGAGACACGGUCCAGACUCCGACGGGAGGCAGCAGUGGGGAAUAUUGCACAAUGGGCGCAAGCCUGAUGCAGCCAUGCCGCGUGUAUGAAGAAGGCCUUCGGGUUGUAAAGCACUUUCAGCGGGGAGGCGUUACCCGCAGAAGAAGCACCGGCUAACUCCGUGCCAGCAGCCGCGGUAAUAC